AGCGGAGGAAAAGAAACCAACAGGGAUUGCCCUAGUAACGGCGAGUGAACAGGCAAGAGCUCAGAUUUGAAAGGCACUUUUGUGCCGUUGUAUUCUGAAGUUAGGGUCCUGAGAAACGAUGCUUAAGUCUUCUGGAAAGGAGCGCCAUGGAGGGUGAUAGCCCCGUCUAGCAUUGACCUCAUAUAGGAUCUUAACAUGGAGUCGAGUUGUUUGGGAAUGCAGCUCAAAUGGGUGGUAUGCUCCAUCUAAAGCUAAAUAUCUGCGAGAGACCGAUAGUAAACAAGUACUGUGAGGGAAAGAUGAAAAGAACUUUGAAAAGAGAGUGAAAAAGUACGUGAAAUUGUUGAAAUGGAAGGGUAGGCCGCUAACCAUGUAGAGCCGUGUUUGGGGGGAAGAUAAAUGCUGUAGAAUGUAGCUCCUCGGAGUAUUAUAGAUGCAGUUCAUAUUCCCACCCGAGCGCGAGGAUCUCAGGUUCUACUAAAUGGUGGUCUACCACCCGUCUUGAAC
Molecule: ribosomal RNA, 507 nt
Filed under: Starmerella bacillaris
Lineage: Eukaryota; Fungi; Ascomycota; Dipodascomycetes; Dipodascales; Trichomonascaceae
Description: eukaryotic LSU rRNA
Rfam family: Eukaryotic large subunit ribosomal RNA
Source: RNAcentral